Molecule: ribosomal RNA, 481 nt
Filed under: Metabacillus idriensis
Lineage: Bacteria; Bacillati; Bacillota; Bacilli; Caryophanales; Bacillaceae
Description: bacterial SSU rRNA
Rfam family: Bacterial small subunit ribosomal RNA
Source: RNAcentral
UAGAGUUUGAUUCCUGGCUCAGGACGAACGCUGGCGGCGUGCCUAAUACAUGCAAGUCGAGCGGACUUGCUGGAGCUUGCUCCAGCAGGUCAGCGGCGGACGGGUGAGUAACACGUGGGCAACCUGCCUGUAAGACUGGGAUAACUCCGGGAAACCGGAGCUAAUACCGGAUAGUAUCUUGAACCGCAUGGUUCAAGUUGGAAAGACGGUUUCGGCUGUCACUUACAGAUGGGCCCGCGGCGCAUUAGCUAGUUGGUGAGGUAAUGGCUCACCAAGGCAACGAUGCGUAGCCGACCUGAGAGGGUGAUCGGCCACACUGGGACUGAGACACGGCCCAGACUCCUACGGGAGGCAGCAGUAGGGAAUCUUCCGCAAUGGACGAAAGUCUGACGGAGCAACGCCGCGUGAGUGAUGAAGGUUUUCGGAUCGUAAAACUCUGUUGUUAGGGAAGAACAAGUGCGAGAGUAACUGCUCGCACCUG